This 325-nucleotide ribosomal RNA is filed under the name uncultured eukaryote. RNAcentral describes it as "partial 18S ribosomal RNA". It matches the Rfam family "Eukaryotic small subunit ribosomal RNA", at positions 1470 to 1796 of the family's 1831-position model. The record is from RNAcentral.
CCCUUAGAUGUCCUGGGCCGCACGCGCGCUACACUGAUGCAUUCAACGAGUUUCACCUUGGCCGAGAGGCCUGGGCAAUCUUUUAAACCUGCAUCGUGAUAGGGAUAGAUUAUUGCAAUUAUUAAUCUUGAACGAGGAAUUCCUAGUAAACGCAAAUCAUCAAUUUGCAUUGAUUACGUCCCUGCCCUUUGUACACACCGCCCGUCGCACCUACCGAUUGGAUGGUCCGGUGAAGCCUCGGGAUUGUGGCCAGUUCACUUUAUUGGGAGUUGGCUGUGAGAACUUGUCUAAACCUUAUCAUUUAGAGGAAGGUGAAGUCGUAACA